Molecule: ribosomal RNA, 482 nt
Filed under: uncultured bacterium
Lineage: Bacteria
Description: partial 16S ribosomal RNA
Rfam family: Bacterial small subunit ribosomal RNA
Source: RNAcentral
AUUGAACGCUGGCGGCAUGCUUUACACAUGCAAGUCGAACGGUAACAGGCCGCAAGGUGCUGACGAGUGGCGAACGGGUGAGUAAUGCAUCGGAACGUGCCCAGUCGUGGGGGAUAACUACUCGAAAGAGUAGCUAAUACCGCAUACGAUCUAUGGAUGAAAGCGGGGGACCGUAAGGCCUCGCGCGAUUGGAGCGGCCGAUGUCAGAUUAGGUAGUUGGUGGGGUAAAGGCUCACCAAGCCAACGAUCUGUAGCUGGUCUGAGAGGACGACCAGCCACAUUGGGACUGAGACACGGCCCAGACUCCUACGGGAGGCAGCAGUGGGGAAUUUUGGACAAUGGGCGCAAGCCUGAUCCAGCAAUGCCGCGUGCAGGAAGAAGGCCUUCGGGUUGUAAACUGCUUUUGUACGGAACGAAACGGCUCUGGUUAAUACCCGGGGCUAAUGACGGUACCGGAAGAAUAAGCACCGGCUAACUACGUG